GACGAACGCUGGCGGCGUGCCUAAUACAUGCCAGUCGAGCGAGCGGAACUAACAGAUUUACUUCGGUAAUGACGUUAGGAAAGCGAGCGGCGGAUGGGUGAGUAACACGUGGGGAACCUGCCCCAUAGUCUGGGAUACCACUUGGAAACAGGUGCUAAUACCGGAUAAGAAAGCAGAUCGCAUGAUCAGCUUUUAAAAGGCGGCGUAAGCUGUCGCUAUGGGAUGGCCCCGCGGUGCAUUAGCUAGUUGGUAAGGUAAAGGCUUACCAAGGCGAUGAUGCAUAGCCGAGUUGAGAGACUGAUCGGCCACAUUGGGACUGAGACACGGCCCAAACUCCUACGGGAGGCAGCAGUAGGGAAUCUUCCACAAUGGACGCAAGUCUGAUGGAGCAACGCCGCGUGAGUGAAGAAGGUUUUCGGAUCGUAAAGCUCUGUUGUUGGUGAAGAAGGAUAGAGGUAGUAACUGGCCUUUAUUUGACGGUAAUCAACCAGAAAGUCACGGCUAACUACGUG
RNAcentral lists this ribosomal RNA (512 nucleotides) under uncultured bacterium. Its description in RNAcentral is "partial 16S ribosomal RNA". It matches the Rfam family "Bacterial small subunit ribosomal RNA", at positions 28 to 507 of the family's 1533-position model. The record is from RNAcentral.